Vidua macroura (Pin-tailed whydah) is the source of this 845-nucleotide long non-coding RNA. RefSeq lists it as uncharacterized. The record is from RefSeq and is a predicted model, not a curated record. The transcript is spliced from 2 exons. Lineage: Eukaryota; Metazoa; Chordata; Aves; Passeriformes; Viduidae.
GGUUGGUUGGUUCAAGUUUGGAGGAUUACUGGAGAAACUUUAACAGACAAAUGCCAUUUUAAAAUGCAUUGUUCAGUGUUUUGCAGAGAUUAUUAAGAACACUUUCCUUUUCUUCCAUAGACAUUUGGCCUUUGCUAUUGGCAAAGACCAUUUACAAGUCCAUUUUUGUGUUCAUGCUCACUUGCAUGCACAGUAGCAAGAACAAAUAACUAUCCCUGAGCAAACUUCAGAAAGACAGAUCAAUAUAUAUGUAUGCUUGACUUUACUUUGAUAUUAUCUAAUCUAAUAUUAAAAAAACCCCAGCACAGCUACUAAAUAACAAAAAAACUUCCAUCAGAAUUGUUCUUAUACUUCUAUCUUGUUCUGGUACUCAUUUCUGGGCAUUUCCUGUUGUUUCUUCGCCAGGUCAUGAAGCAAGACCAAAUUCUGCUCUCUUCUGGUGAGGUCACUUUUUAUACAGACAAAUCCAGUACUACCAGCACAGGAAGAGUAGCUGAAAGCAGCAGGAGUUCUGAGUUGUCUGGUAACACAACUGAGAAUCACAAAAGGUAGUGAGAACUUUCUCUAAGCCACAGAGCACAACAGCAAAGCAGAACACUCCUUCACAGCUGGUCAAACUCUACUUCAAGCAGCCUGGAGGUCUCAAUGGGCAGCAUAAGGUUAGAAAACAGCCCUCAACAGUGUGUGUGCUUUGAAGUUAUCACUCACAAGAGUAACUUUCAGAGCUUCAUUUUGCUUCUGUGCAUUAACAUGUAUCUUCUCCAUUAAAUCACCAUAGGUCCAUCCUGUGGCAUAGCUCUCAGUCAAAAUGGAAAAAUAUUCUGAGAAAUAAAAUUUAAAUUCAA